RNAcentral lists this antisense RNA (69 nucleotides) under Lentzea albida. RNAcentral describes it as "ASpks TB sRNA". It matches the Rfam family "ASpks TB sRNA". The record is from RNAcentral. Lineage: Bacteria; Bacillati; Actinomycetota; Actinomycetes; Pseudonocardiales; Pseudonocardiaceae.
CUUCACCGACCCCAGCAGCAAAGGCCGAUCACGGUCCUGGCCGUAGGUCGCCAGCAGCGCCUGCGCCUC